This 458-nucleotide ribosomal RNA is filed under the name uncultured bacterium. RNAcentral's name for it is "partial 16S ribosomal RNA". It matches the Rfam family "Bacterial small subunit ribosomal RNA", at positions 338 to 795 of the family's 1533-position model. The record is from RNAcentral.
CCUACGGGUGACAGCAGUGAGGAAUAUUGGUCAAUGGGCGAGAGCCUGAACCAGCCAAGUCGCGUGAGGGAGUACUGCCCUAUGGGUUGUAAACCUCUUUUGUCGGGGAGCAAAAGCCGGACGUGUCCGGCUGUGAGAGUACCCGAAGAAAAAGCAUCGGCUAACUCCGUGCCAGCAGCCGCGGUAAUACGGAGGAUGCGAGCGUUAUCCGGAUUUAUUGGGUUUAAAGGGUGCGCAGGCGGAUUUUUAAGUCAGCGGUAAAAUCGUGGGGCUCAACCCCAUCCAGCCGUUGAAACUGGGGAUCUAGAGUGUGCGAGAGGUAUGCGGAAUGCGUGGGGUAGCGGUGAAAUGCAUAGAGAUCACGCAGAACCCCGAUUGCGAAGGCAGCAUACCGGUGCACAACUGACGCUCAGGCACGAAAGCGUGGGUAUCGAACAGGAUUAGAUACCCGGGUAGUC